AGAGUUUGAUUCUGGCUCAGAACGAACGCUGGCGGCAGGCUUAACACAUGCAAGUCGAACGAUAUAGUGGCAGACGGGUGAGUAACGCGUGGGAACGUACCUUUCACUACGGAAUAGCUCUUGGAAACGAGUGGUAAUACCGUAUACGCCCUUCGGGGGAAAGAUUUAUCGGUGAAAGAUCGGCCCGCGUUAGAUUAGCUAGUUGGUAGGGUAAUGGCCUACCAAGGCGACGAUCUAUAGCUGGUCUGAGAGGAUGAUCAGCCACACUGGGACUGAGACACGGCCCAGACUCCUACGGGAGGCAGCAGUGGGGAAUCUUGCACAAUGGGCGAAAGCCUGAUGCAGCCAUGCCGCGUGAAUGAUGAAGGCCUUAGGGUUGUAAAAUUCUUUCGCUAGGGAUGAUAAUGACAGUACCUAGUAAAGAAGCCCCGGCUAACUUCGUGCCAGCAGCCGCGGUAAUACGAAGGGGGCUAGCGUUGUUCGGAAUUACUGGGCGUAAAGCGCACGUAGGCGGACUUUUAAGUCAGAUGUGAAAUCCCGGGGCUCAACCUCGGAACUGCAUUUGAAACUGGAAGUCUAGAGACCAGGAGAGGUUAGCGGAAUACCGAGUGUAGAGGUGAAAUUCGUAGAUAUUCGGUGGAACACCAGUGGCGAAGGCGGCUAACUGGACUGGUACUGACGCUGAGGUGCGAAAGUGUGGGGAGCAAACAGGAUUAGAUACCCUGGUAGUCCACACCGUAAACGAUGAGAGCUAGUUGUUGGCAGGCAUGCCUGUCGGUGACGCAGCUAACGCAUUAAGCUCUCCGCCUGGGGAGUAC
RNAcentral lists this ribosomal RNA (818 nucleotides) under Hyphomonas sp. UBA3201. RNAcentral's name for it is "bacterial SSU rRNA". It matches the Rfam family "Bacterial small subunit ribosomal RNA", at positions 8 to 883 of the family's 1533-position model. Lineage: Bacteria; Pseudomonadati; Pseudomonadota; Alphaproteobacteria; Hyphomonadales; Hyphomonadaceae. The record is from RNAcentral.